GCCUAUGGCAAUGCCACCCUGAAUGUGCCUGAUUGCAUCUGAUCUUGAAAGCUAAGCAGGGUCUGGCCUGGUUAGUAUUUGGAUGGGACCAAAUAGUAACUUAACAAAAUGCCUUGUCU
Molecule: ribosomal RNA, 119 nt
Filed under: Cebus imitator (Panamanian white-faced capuchin)
Lineage: Eukaryota; Metazoa; Chordata; Mammalia; Primates; Cebidae
Source: RNAcentral